ACAGAACAAAUGCUAUCUGCCCUCACAAGGUUUACAUUCUAAGGACAUCGUGACUCAGAUAUACAUCAAGACCAGCAGACAAAAGGAACGGGAUGGACACAGAUUUAUUCAGGACAGGAGACAACAGCAACACAGAUCACAGUGACAGAAUGAGAACUAGGGACCCAAUUGAUUUUCAAUGCCGCCAGCACAGUGUCUGAGUAUACCAAUUUCAUCCAACCCUUGACAACAUAAGGCCACCAGAAGUCUUCAAAGGAAGUCAUUUUAAAGUAGAAAAAGGAGCUAAGGCUGAUGAAAACAGACUAUCGAUGAUUAAAGAGGAUGAACUCAGUAUGUCCGCUGCACCUACCAGGAUAGCCUUCAAGGCCAUACGCUCGCCACUUGCUGACUGGCUGAAGUCCUGCUCUCCGUGCAUCGUGCUCACUGACUGAGGACACGCUUAGCUGAGAUCUGACGACCUAGUAAGAAGGAAAAAAAAG
Molecule: long non-coding RNA, 479 nt
Organism: Oryctolagus cuniculus (rabbit)
Lineage: Eukaryota; Metazoa; Chordata; Mammalia; Lagomorpha; Leporidae
Source: RefSeq, a predicted model, not a curated record